CCCCAGCUGGCUCAGUUGGAAAAGCAUGUGACUCUUGAUCUCGUGGGCAUGGGUUCAAGCCCUAUGCUGGGUG
RNAcentral lists this transfer RNA (73 nucleotides) under Felis catus (domestic cat). It matches the Rfam family "tRNA". From Rfam's summary of the family: Transfer RNA (tRNA) molecules are approximately 80 nucleotides in length. Their secondary structure includes four short double-helical elements and three loops (D, anti-codon, and T loops). RNAcentral also lists the same sequence under 1 other name. Lineage: Eukaryota; Metazoa; Chordata; Mammalia; Carnivora; Felidae. The record is from Rfam by way of RNAcentral.